Molecule: long non-coding RNA, 282 nt
Organism: Hippopotamus amphibius kiboko
Lineage: Eukaryota; Metazoa; Chordata; Mammalia; Artiodactyla; Hippopotamidae
Exons: 3
Source: RefSeq, a predicted model, not a curated record
CACAACAGCAGUGAAGAGCCACGCACGCUGGGCCAGCUUUUCUCCGAGUUUUGUUUCCAACUUUCAUGAGACUCAGGGGAGACUGAAGAAUGACUGCUGUCUUGGGAGAUUGAGUGGAUAUGCAUGUCACUGACAGGGAGUUCCUGCAGUUAUGAGCUGCUAACUUGCUACAGCUGCUGUGAUCUGUGCUCUCAGACCAGUACCCAGGAUCACCCAAGAGGUUGGAAGGGGGUGAUUGGAAGACUAUCAUCGUUGGAAUUAUGACUUCUGGACCUCACCUCA